CUUUAAAUCAGCAAAUGAUUUAAGGCGGAAGGAG
RNAcentral lists this non-coding RNA (34 nucleotides) under Allobaculum stercoricanis DSM 13633. Its description in RNAcentral is "L31-Firmicutes ribosomal protein leader". It matches the Rfam family "L31-Firmicutes ribosomal protein leader". Lineage: Bacteria; Bacillati; Bacillota; Erysipelotrichia; Erysipelotrichales; Erysipelotrichaceae. The record is from RNAcentral.